AUGAUGAUAGCCUAUCAAAAGAUAAAAAAAGAUGUUAUACAAAAGUGUUUUUCUCGAAGGCCCUGCUUAAAGUGGACAGCAGGAGCAUUAAUCAUAGCCACGACUGCAGACAAACAAGGAAACUCACUCUUCGACCACGGCAACAAGACAGUCGCCUCUGCCCUGUGCUGCGGUCUUAAUGAAAGCUUUAUCUUGUUAAAGCACCAGCAAAACCAGCCUCUGAGUCGAUCAGCUCCUCUUUGGCCCCUGAAAGCUGUAAUGUCUUGUAGAACUUGUGUGAAUAUUCUACGUCGGGCCACCCUGUCUUUUUCUCUGCAUGUCUGUUUUGUGGUUUCACUGAUUCUGCACUCAGGUUAAAGGCCAUUUUCCCAUGCUGCUCAAAAACUUCAGCUCAAACGAGAUGUACCGCAAUGAGAGUUAAAAGGACAUCAAAAUUGGUCUGCUGUCAUCAAGGGUCUGUCUUAACCCUAUUUGCCUUUCUCCGACCGAUCUAUCAGCGAGGUCUGAUCAAAAAGGGAUACCGUGUCUUCCAGCAUUCCUUAUUCGUUGGGAUGAGUGUCCCUGACUGUCCCUCUGCCACCACUUCCUGUCAGCCAAGCCUGAAACAAAGACCUUCUCUAUCUAACUCCUUUUCUGAUCCUCCUCUCUCGCUCUCUCUCUAUAAGACUGAGAAUUGGGCAUGAAAUGCAACACAUAUUUAUGAGAUUAUCUACUGUCUCAUGUUUCAUUUCCAUGUACGAAAGGAGAACAUUUUUCAUUUCCUCUGAGUGAAAACGUGAAAAGGACAAAAUGAUUUCGGUGCUGUUGUUGUCCUCAGAUCUCCAAGGGGACGUUAAUUCACAUCGAUCUUGUUUUGAACUAAGGCACUUCCCCUCCAAUACCAUUAGAAUGAUAACAGCCUAAAAUAAUUCUCCAUCCCACCUCCCUCCCAACGCGUACGUGCAAACACUCGCACACAAACAAUCUGUAUAGAGAUAAUCCCAAGAGAUGGAUGCGCACAAAAACAGCCCAAAAUGAAAAGGUCACUGAAUUCUAAGCCGAUUCAAAAUGAAGCAAGUGAGGUUGUCAGCACGAAAUGCAGCACAAGACUUCUUUGUCUCCUAAACAGCCAAAAGUCGACACAAGAGGAGUGAUCAGAGGAGGACUCUGCGAGGGGGAAACGUGCCCUGAAGCAGAAGCAAGAGAUAGCAGAAAGGCCUAAAUUGUUUCUUUGAGCUUUACUUUGCAAAAAAAAAAACCAUGACGUAAAAACAUUUUUUAACAUGUGUAACCAUCCCAAUCAACUGUUUGCUUGCUCUAACUCCUCCCUUUUUGCAACAGUCGGAUGCAAAAAAAAAAAAGAAAACUGCAUAUGAAUGGAUGUACACACGGGUGUAUUCCAUGUAGCCAUUAACCUGAGAGGUCAAGUAAGAGGGAGGAU
Cyprinus carpio carpio is the source of this 1420-nucleotide long non-coding RNA. NCBI's taxonomy places the organism in Eukaryota, Metazoa, Chordata, Actinopteri, Cypriniformes, Cyprinidae. The record is from Ensembl.